Molecule: ribosomal RNA, 484 nt
Filed under: uncultured bacterium
Lineage: Bacteria
Description: partial 16S ribosomal RNA
Rfam family: Bacterial small subunit ribosomal RNA
Source: RNAcentral
AUUGAACGCUGGCGGCGUGCUUUACACAUGCAAGUCGAACGGCAGCGCGGGCUUCGGCCUGGCGGCGAGUGGCGAACGGGUGAGUAAUACAUCGGAACGUGCCCAGUAGUGGGGGAUAGCUCGGCGAAAGCCGGAUUAAUACCGCAUACGACCUGAGGGUGAAAGCGGGGGAUCUUCGGACCUCGCGCUAUUGGAGCGGCCGAUGGCAGGUUAGCUAGUUGGUGGGGUAAAGGCCUACCAAGGCGACGAUCUGUAGCUGGUCUGAGAGGACGACCAGCCACACUGGGACUGAGACACGGCCCAGACUCCUACGGGACGCAGCAGUGGGGAAUGUUGGACAAUGGGCGAAAGCCUGAUCCAGCAAUGCCGCGUGUGUGAUGAAGGCCUUCGGGUUGUAAAGCACUUUUGGCGGGAACGAAAAGGACUGUGCCAAUACCACGGUUCGAUGACGGUACCCGCAGAAUAAGCACCGGCUAACUACGUG